AAAAAAAAACAAUAAAGGUCUGGAUUUCUUUGGUCGGCCCGUGGUUAAGAAUCUGUCUGCCAAUGCAGGCAACAUGGGUUGGAUCCCUGAUCUGGGAAGAUCCCACAUGCUGCUGGGCAACUAAGCCCAUGUGCCACAACUACUGAAGCUCCCCUGCCUUAGAGACUGUGCUCUGCAAUAAGAAAAGCCACCACAAUGAGAAGCCAGCCAACCACAACUAGAGAGUAGCCCCUGCUGAUCACAACUGAAGAAGGCCCGUAGCAAUGAAGACCCAGAAGCCAAAAAUAAAAUAAUUUAUAAAAGAGCCUCACUUCUUCUGUUCUGAAUGGGUGGGAGUGGCACUCAGGGCAACUGGUUGGCACAGAUAAAGCUCCUCGUGCUGGUUGUAGAGUUCUUGAUUUUAAUAGCAGAACAUUCAAGAGUUCUAUGCCUUUUAGACUGUCACCCCUCUUGGAGUUCUCCCUCUAGAAUCCUUUUGAGACAUUCCUUCUCUUGCCUAAAGUUGUGUCUUGGAUUGGAAAAUUUCCUAGAGAUAUUUACUGAUGUGGACAAAGAAAUUGCUGAGGAUGGUGAUAAGAGAUUCAAGCUGGAAUCCUGAAACUACCUUGUGAGUAAAGCUCAGCAAACCUUUUGGAGGAUGAGACCGUAUGGAAGAAAAUGCAGGCAUUCUGGCAGAGAACCUGUCAGCUGCCAGACAUGUGAGAGAGGCUCUUCUAGCCCAUUCAGCUGAGUGAACCCUGCAGAGAUCAACUGAAUGGAUCCAGACCAGAGGAACCACUCAGCUCACUCACAAAACUGUGAGCUAAAUAAAUUAUUGUUGUUUUAGAUCACUGAGUUUUGAAAUGGUUUAUUAUACAGC
This 859-nucleotide long non-coding RNA is filed under the name Ovis aries (sheep). RNAcentral describes it as "lncRNA (ENSOARG00000027024.1)". Lineage: Eukaryota; Metazoa; Chordata; Mammalia; Artiodactyla; Bovidae. The record is from RNAcentral.